UACAUGAAUAUCGGGUUUUAAUAGCACUAUACAAUAGCGUUUGUAGUCAUUCUGCUAUUGUUAGAGGACCUCUGAACUUUCAAUAGCGUUUCUACCUUGUUGAAACGCUAUGGAUAGUAUUUCACAAUUUUUACUAUGACGCGGAAGUAUAUUUAAUAGCAUUACCAUAUUAAAACGCUAUUGAAAAGGUUGGGCGCUAAAAAUUUCCCAUUCCCGCUACUACACUUAGAAAUAUUUUUGGGCAUAGUUUCUUUUUCCCCUUAGCUCAUCUUUGUCGACUUUACUCUUCAAUUUUUAGGGUUUCCUCUUUCUCUCCUCUUUGCUAUCUCCGACAGACACAAAACACAAAUUUCCGAAAAAUUUCAACCUCUUUGCUCUCUCCGCAUCUUCCUUAGGUUCUCCCAUCUUCCUUGUAUGCUCGAUCUGUUUGGGAAUCCCACUAAAUCGAAGGUCGUAGUCGAACCAGUAUCCAAACACAUCACUUGUCCAGAUUGAAGGAGUCAACACCCAAGAGAAGUUCGAGUUAAUCAGAAGAGAACAAACUCUAUCAGGUAUAUGAUUCUUCUAUCAGAUUACUUGUAUUGUUGUUUUGGCUUUGAAAGUGACUGCCUCUGAAAAUUACUUGUAUGCACAUUUGGUCGGAGCUCUUGUGAAAUGGAUAAAGCUUGGGUUUGGUUGCCAAGGUAUUAACUUGUUCUUACAUAUAUGCAUUGAUUUCAUUUUAUGAUUGACUGUUCUCAGUUUGUAAUGGGUACUAUUUGUUAACUUGUAGGAAUAACCUUGAGUAUGAAACAGGAGCAACUAAGUUUGUGGUUGAAUCAGCAAGUAAUUUGGGUAAUCCAUCAGAAAUGUUCUGAAAUUCAAGUAAUAUCUGAUGCAGUAGGAAACUGGGUGGCUUGGCCUAACAAGCAUAUUGUAUUCAUGUGAGCAUAAGUUUGUGUCAAAAAACAUUGUUCUAUCUCAUGGUGUAGUACUACUCUUUGUAUGAUCUUUUAAAAUGACAGGUUUUAAAUCCAGUUUUAAUUUUAAGUUU
This is a long non-coding RNA of Arabidopsis lyrata subsp. lyrata, 1033 nucleotides long. RefSeq lists it as uncharacterized. The record is from RefSeq and is a predicted model, not a curated record. NCBI's taxonomy places the organism in Eukaryota, Viridiplantae, Streptophyta, Magnoliopsida, Brassicales, Brassicaceae. The transcript is spliced from 3 exons.